Molecule: ribosomal RNA, 484 nt
Filed under: uncultured bacterium
Lineage: Bacteria
Description: partial 16S ribosomal RNA
Rfam family: Bacterial small subunit ribosomal RNA
Source: RNAcentral
AUUGAACGCUGGCGGCAGGCCUAACACAUGCAAGUCGAGCGGAUGAAGGGAGCUUGCUCCUGGAUUCAGCGGCGGACGGGUGAGUAAUGCCUAGGAAUCUGCCUGGUAGUGGGGGAUAACGUCCGGAAACGGGCGCUAAUACCGCAUACGUCCUGAGGGAGAAAGUGGGGGAUCUUCGGACCUCACGCUAUCAGAUGAGCCUAGGUCGGAUUAGCUAGUUGGUGGGGUAAAGGCCUACCAAGGCGACGAUCCGUAACUGGUCUGAGAGGAUGAUCAGUCACACUGGAACUGAGACACGGUCCAGACUCCUACGGGAGGCAGCAGUGGGGAAUAUUGGACAAUGGGCGAAAGCCUGAUCCAGCCAUGCCGCGUGUGUGAAGAAGGUCUUCGGACUGUAAAGCACUUUAAGUUGGGAGGAAGGGCAGUAAGUUAAUACCUUGCUGUUUUGACGUUACCAACAGAAUAAGCACCGGCCAACUUCGUG